GUCAUCCAAGUGUAAGUGUAAGUAGGGUGCAGGGACUCCCAAGGAGUGAAGCAGGAACCUCGGGCUAACAGCAGAGACCCUGUCACCAUCCCUAGGCCUGAAGGACUAGAGGAGGAAAAGUGUCUCUUAUCAGGACCUACGUGAACUGACAGAGGGAUCGCUGCCUGAGAGCUGGUGGAGACUCCAAAUUUCCCGCCGUCCUUGUGCUGAGAAGCACUGUCUGGAGACAGAUGCGUGAACCGCACUCCUUCUGCAAGGAUGACUUCGUGCCCCAAAGACGACGCUGUGUUUAAAGAAAAGCGAUGGCCACUGCCCCCUUCUCCCUUGGGACAUUUUAGCUUUGGGGACAAGUGGUUUAAGUCGCUGAUGCCGAGAAAGGCUUCCUGCAAAAAGAGAGCUGCUUGCUCAGUCAGCCGGACCAGACCAGACCAGACAAGCCUGACUUGCCUGAAGGUCCUGGCUCCUGGACCCUCACUGUAUUUAUAAGUCUUAACAUUGUAGCUGUGAAUUCCAUUCUGGUGAUGUUGCUUCUGGCUGGCAGAUGGCCAUGGUUUCCAGUCAUUCACAGGCAACUCUGAGGCUUGCUGAUAUGGGCAUCGAAAGCACUCGGCUCUCUUUUCUGUAACCGUGUGCAUGUAUUUUCUUGUAAGGUUGUCUUCAACGUCUCUUAAAUGUAUUAAAUAUUUUCUGAAGAUACAGCUACUUGCAGUUAGAAAACAAAAGUAUCUUUUUAUUCUCUUACUUCCAAAGAUAUUGCUUUGCAGAACAAUCUAUAAAAAUAAAGAGCUUUUACUGAGUUCAGGGUUUAAACAAAGAGAGAGAAAAGCAGUUUCUAAGCAGAAAAAUGCAACAAAGGCUUUACUUCUUACCAAAUAACUUAAGAAUGUCUGAACGAAAACAUCCCAAACCUGCUAGUGCCAGAAUUUCUCAGAUAAGUCAAGAGAGAAGAAAAACACAAACCCAACCCCAAACUACCAAAGAAUCAAUGAAUGGCAAAAAGAAAACAACACAAUAUUGAAAAACGUGGUUAAAUGUUUAAGUUGUAAUGGUAUUCUAGAAAACGCAAUUAUACAUCUGCGUGUUUUCUAAUUCAUUUUCUUUUGGAAAAAGUUGGGAAGAUCCUAUGUGACCAAUAUCCUCCUCCAUCAGGCCAUAUGCCACCCCAGGACCACGGGGAGUCCUUGGAGUCUCCGAUCCCCAUCUAGACCCCCUUUAUCAGAUGAUGCCUUGUACGUCAUGUGAUGAAGCACUUCCCACCAUGUGUCUUCCUAACUAGACUGUAAGCAUCCUGGGCAUAGAAAUCUAGACUUCUCUUUGUAUUAUCCCCACAACACCUACCAUGGUGCCUUGAACCCAAGUGAUCAAUACACAUGAGUUGAUUAACUGUCCUAAGAAUUUACAAAUGUUUUCUUCACACCAGUGGGGAAAAACCUGAAAGAGUUCUUUAUUCCAUUAUACCAGGAAGAACAGUAGAAUCUGCUAUCUCAGCAAUUUUCAAUUAUUUAGGGUAUUUAAUUUUGGGAGAAAUUGUGAAGUCUUUGAGCUGCAUAGAAAUACAGUCAUUUGGUGUUCACUUCCAUAUAACAUUGUAUACUACUAAAUCGUAGACAGAAGGCAGAAAGGUAUAAAAGACAGAAAGGUGAGUGUGGAUAUUGAAAACACAAAUUUAUUUACUGUAUUUUGGUAUCCUAGAACCAGAGAAAGAUUUUCUUAAUAUGGCAAAGUAUUAUCCUUAGAGUACAAAUGUUAUUUUUACCAGCAGUUAGCAAGUUUUCAGAAUUGUUACCCUCAAUAGGAUAACAUGAAAAUUGGAAUAGCUUUUAAAAAUAAUUUUAAUGAAACAUGGUCUGUUUAAUGAAAAAUGUUCUACAAUAUGACUGUCCUUUGGUCCCAUUUUUAGAAAGAAAACCUUGUGCUCCUUUGAAAAUGGGUAUGACGACAUUUAUGCAAAAAUUUCUCAUUUACACAAACACAUCAAGGUGCAUUAAGAUAUCUUUCAGAGGUUUAUACAUUUUGCCCUUUCAAAUAUGUAUAUGUGUAUUUAUACAUAUUUGUAUGCAUUAUACAUAUACAUAUUUGUACAUCUUGGUUCUCAGUUCAAAUGUAUUACUUUACUUACUGCUCUUUUAAAGAUUUAUACAUAUUGUUCUCUCAAUGAUUUAUACAUUUUUUCUCAAUUUAGAAACCUGAAGUAGCUAAAAUGUUGGAAGAACAGACUACAUUUCAUUUACUUUAUAGCAUCUAAUAUGUAGAGAUUAACACUAGAUAUACUAGUUUUUUUCUUCAAAUGGGUAAAUGAAUACACAGAGGUAUUAAAUGAUUUGCUAAAAAACAACAUGAGUAUCUCUUGGAUUUCCUGAUUUUCAAGGCUGCCGCCAUCAGAUUAUGCUGAAAUUUUUUUUGCCAACUUGAGAUCUAUAGAGUUCCCAGAUUUUCUAAUUUCAUCCAUAUAUAUCUUUGGCCAUGGCUCUCAGGAAACAGGAUGAUACUAAGUUUAAUUUGCAUGUGUGAUGCCUAUGGAAGAGAUGUGACACUUGCCUAUCUAAUUAAAACCCUACCUCUCUGCUCAGAUAGGAGCUUUGUAAGAGAUCAUCAUAUUCACUUGUGCACUUCCUUCCUUAUUCUUGUUCUCACAGUCACAGGAGAUCACCAAAUGCUCAGGUCCUGAGCUGCAUUUCCAUGUUUAGUAAAUCAGGAAAUAGUGAAAGAUGUAUCUUGUGACACUUUCAUUGUAAACUUAGAUGAGGCAUGAGUAUUUAAUGACAAGUGAAUAGACAUGAAUGAGAAAAAGGUCAAGUUUUAAUAACCUGAACUGAUACUAAGGCAAUCUAUACACAGAAAAAGUAUACAUGUUAGAGAUUUUAAUCAAUAUCUCUUUCUAUAAAAAUUCCCCUGAUUCCUGUAAGUAAAAUUGGUGGUUUCCUCCUUAAUAUCUCACAUCUGUUGUUAUCAUAGUACCCAAACACUUCAUUGUAAUUGUUUUAUACACUUGUCUUUUAAAUGUAAAGUCUUUAAGAAAAGAGACUAUGUUCUACUCAUCCCAAUAUCCCUAUUAACUUCAAUAAUGCUGUCAUGUGGUAUAAUAUGUUUAUUUGUUCCAGGCUGAGUAAAUAAAUGUGCAUUCUAUACCGUUAAGGACUGUGUACUGGAGUUGGUUAAUAAAUCGUUCAAU
Molecule: long non-coding RNA, 3172 nt
Organism: Suricata suricatta (meerkat)
Lineage: Eukaryota; Metazoa; Chordata; Mammalia; Carnivora; Herpestidae
Exons: 3
Source: RefSeq, a predicted model, not a curated record